RNAcentral lists this ribosomal RNA (479 nucleotides) under uncultured bacterium. RNAcentral describes it as "bacterial SSU rRNA". It matches the Rfam family "Bacterial small subunit ribosomal RNA", at positions 28 to 507 of the family's 1533-position model. The record is from RNAcentral.
GACGAACGCUGGCGGUGUGCCUAACACAUGCAAGUCAACUUGACUGAAGGAGCAAUCUGACAGUAGAGUGGCGCAAGGGUGCGUAACGCGUAAGUAACUUGCCCAAGGUAAGGAAUAACGUCGAGAAAUCGGCGCUAAUACCUCAUAAUGCAGCGGAUCCGCAUGGAUAUGUUGUUAAAGGUUUACCGCCUUGGGAUAGGCUUGCGUCUGAUUAGCUAGUUGGUGUGGUAACGGCACACCAAGGCUACGAUCAGUAACUGGUCUGAGAGGAUGAUCAGUCACACUGGAACUGGGACACGGUCCAGACUCCUACGGGAGGCAGCAGUGAGGAAUAUUGGGCAAUGCUCGAAAGAGUGACCCAGCAACGCCGCGUGGAGGAUGAAGGUAUUCUAUAUCGUAAACUCCUGUGAGAGCAGACGAAAGACAGAUUAUUAAUCUGGAUGACUGUAUGCUCAGAGGAAGCCCCGGCUAACUACGUG